This 346-nucleotide ribosomal RNA is filed under the name uncultured bacterium. Its description in RNAcentral is "partial 16S ribosomal RNA". It matches the Rfam family "Bacterial small subunit ribosomal RNA", at positions 338 to 681 of the family's 1533-position model. The record is from RNAcentral.
CCUACUGGUGGCAGCAGUGAGGAAUAUUGGUCAAUGGGCGCGAGCCUGAACCAGCCAAGUAGCGUGAAGGAUGACUGCCCUACGGGUUGUAAACUUCUUUUAUAAAGGAAUAAAGUGAGGCACGGGUGCCUUGUUGUAUGUACUUUAUGAAUAAGGAUAGGCUAACUCCGUGCCAGCAGCCGCGGUAAUACGGAGGAUCCGAGCGUUAUCCGGAUUUAUUGGGUUUCAAGGGAGCGUAGAUGGUUUGUUAAGUCAGUUGUGAAAGUUUGCGGCUCAACCGUAAAAUUGCAAUUGAUACUGGCAGUCUUGAGUACAGUUGAGGUAGGCGGACUUCGUGGUGUAGCUG